RNAcentral lists this ribosomal RNA (300 nucleotides) under Triticum aestivum (bread wheat). RNAcentral describes it as "partial small subunit ribosomal RNA". The record is from RNAcentral. Lineage: Eukaryota; Viridiplantae; Streptophyta; Magnoliopsida; Poales; Poaceae.
AUGGUGGAUACCCCAAAAGAGAGCGAUAACGAGGACCAACGGGCCGCGGCAGAAGAUAACCCCGCCGACAAACAACCAAAACGGCGGCGCAGACGCCGCCCUAAGUCCCGCCUCGAAAAUAACAGUGCUCCUAAGGACCCCGCAAUACAGCAGGGCACACAAGUGGACGACGAACAUGCAGAUAAGCAACCGUCCGAACAGGACGAGUCAGAUAAUCACGCGCAAAUUCUGGAACAGGUUCCUCACCAAAAAGAACCAAAUAGUCGACUGUCCGGACGCCGAAGCCUUAGCUGCUUUUAA